GACGAACGCUGGCGGCGUGCCUAAUACAUGCAAGUCGAGCGAGCGGAACUAACAGAUUUACUUCGGUAAUGACGUUAGGAAAGCGAGCGGCGGAUGGGUGAGUAACACGUGGGGAACCUGCCCCAUAGUCUGGGAUACCACUUGGAAACAGGUGCUAAUACCGGAUAAGAAAGCAGAUCGCAUGAUCAGCUUUUAAAAGGCGGCGUAAGCUGUCGCUAUGGGAUGGCCCCGCGGUGCAUUAGCUAGUUGGUAAGGUAAAGGCUUACCAAGGCGAUGA
RNAcentral lists this ribosomal RNA (277 nucleotides) under uncultured bacterium. Its description in RNAcentral is "partial 16S ribosomal RNA". It matches the Rfam family "Bacterial small subunit ribosomal RNA", at positions 28 to 279 of the family's 1533-position model. The record is from RNAcentral.